Non-coding RNA from Mycena leptocephala, 93 nucleotides. NCBI's taxonomy places the organism in Eukaryota, Fungi, Basidiomycota, Agaricomycetes, Agaricales, Mycenaceae. The record is from the annotation of a GenBank genome assembly.
UCGGACGUGGUGCAUGGUGCACGCCCGCACGCAAUAUAUGAUUGGGUUGAGUGAAUAAAGCGGAAGAGCUGGGUUCGACUCCCGGCGUCCGAA